This is a long non-coding RNA of Misgurnus anguillicaudatus (oriental weatherfish), 630 nucleotides long. RefSeq lists it as uncharacterized. NCBI's taxonomy places the organism in Eukaryota, Metazoa, Chordata, Actinopteri, Cypriniformes, Cobitidae. The record is from RefSeq and is a predicted model, not a curated record.
UCUUUGCUAAUGUCACAGCUAUUUAAUUUUCGGUUCAUGCGUUUAAAUGUUAAAAGAGAGAUUUCAAUCAGGCGCUAAAGCACUUCAACGAUUCGCGGUGAUGUUUGGAUCACGUGACCUAGCCACACAUACUUCAAAAUAAGAGUCUUGUGCAAAAAUCAACUGUCCGCUUUAUUUAUUUAUAUUUUUACGUGUUUAAUAAUUUAAAAUUUAGCUUGAUUGUACUUUAAAUUUUAAAAAGUCACUUGAACACAACCAUUUAAAACUUUGUAGUUUAAAAGCGGCAAAAAUGUUUCAUUAUUUUUAAGGCUGUUAAAAUGUCACGAGGCAUUUGAUGACCCAUUGGUGAGAAGACGUUUGACUGAUCGAUUUUGAGAAAACACAUUUAGAGGAUGCAUGUGUUGAUUGAUCUGGCCUGCUGUGUGUGUGGUUUACCUGCCAUACACUGGCACUGGUCUCCAUCACAGAGUCGUAACAGCCUCUGACUUUGGCUGUAGUAUUUCAUACACUGAUAAUCUAAAGUCAGAAAGUCAGGUGAGGAAGACUUGCAUAACAUAUUAAUCUGACAUUAUUUACUGUAUGUUUAUUUUGCAAGCAGGAAACACAACACCUGGAGCAUUAAACUCAUAA